This 660-nucleotide ribosomal RNA is filed under the name uncultured bacterium. Its description in RNAcentral is "bacterial SSU rRNA". It matches the Rfam family "Bacterial small subunit ribosomal RNA", at positions 92 to 742 of the family's 1533-position model. The record is from RNAcentral.
CGACCGGCAAACGGGUGCGGAACACGUACGCAACCUUCCCAGAACAGGUGAAUAGCCCUGCGAAAGUAGGAUUAAUACACCGUAACGUAUAGCUGUGGCAUCACGGUUAUAUAAAAGGCAGCAAUGCCGGUUUUGGAUGGGCGUGCGCCUGAUUAGGUAGUUGGUGCGGGUAACGGCCCACCAAGCCUUCGAUCAGUAACUGGUGUGAGAGCACGACCAGUCACACGGGCACUGAGACACGGGCCCGACUCCUACGGGAGGCAGCAGUAAGGAAUAUUGGUCAAUGGACGGAAGUCUGAACCAGCCAUGCCGCGUGAAGGAUGAAGGCCCUCUGGGUUGUAAACUUCUUUUAUCUGGGACGAAAAAAGGGGAAUCUUCCUCACUUGACGGUACCAGAGGAAUAAGCACCGGCUAACUCCGUGCCAGCAGCCGCGGUAAUACGGAGGGUGCAAGCGUUAUCCGGAUUUACUGGGUUUAAAGGGUGCGUAGGUAGGCGAGAAAGUCAGUGGUGAAAUUUCCGGGCUUAACCCGGAAACUGCCAUUGAUACUAUUAGUCUUGAAUACUUUGGAGGUAAGCGGAAUAUGUCAUGUAGCGGUGACAAUGCUUAGAUCUGACAUAGAACACCAAUUGCGAAAGGCAGCUUACUAAACAGGCAAUUG